This 7907-nucleotide long non-coding RNA is filed under the name Sorghum bicolor (sorghum). RNAcentral's name for it is "long non-coding RNA (SBIC_LNC005367)". The record is from RNAcentral. Lineage: Eukaryota; Viridiplantae; Streptophyta; Magnoliopsida; Poales; Poaceae.
GCUGGUUGGGCCCACCUGCAGUGUCCUGGAGGCUCUCUGAUGUCGGUGGAGUUGAGCUGACCUGUGGGACCCACCAAAGUGGGGUCGCCCGACCCCAAUUCUAUGGGGUUAGGGUGUCAGCCCUGUCCUACAUGUCUUCCUCUUCAUGACUAUAAUGUUGUCUUGGUUACUGGUGUCACUGAUCUUUAGUUAUUCACCCCUUCUUAGUGUUUGGACCCUUGAAAAGUACCUGUUCUUACUCCUGCAACCAAAUAGUAGCAUGUACAUGUGGAACUAGGUUAUAUGUACCUAUAUUACUACUUUGUUUGGUUGUUUUCUCCCAAAAUGAGUCUUAUGUUGACGGUUAUGAUAGUAGAAAACAUGGUAUAAAUACCGUCAACAAGACCCCCCACACUUGAGUCUUUGCUCGUCCUCGAGUAAAGGUUAAAAAUGAGUGAUCAAUGGUUUCUAACUUAAGAUAGUAGUGAGCAUAAAAUGCUAGUUCGAACAUAGUUCAUCCAAAUGGGUUUUUGUGUAAGUGUCUAGCAUAUAUCCUUCAGAGGUUGAGAAAAGGAACAACUCUCAGAACAAGAUCAAAUUCCAAUUUCAUAUUCUUGGUACUUAGAGUUUUUAUGACACUUUUUAAAAUAAGUCACAUAGUUCAAUCCUACUCCUCAUUUAGCGCUCUAGAUCACUCAAAGUUUUUUAGUAGUCCUCACCAAGGCAUGAAUGCCAACUUGUUUCAUCCUAUAAUUAUAGGCUUAUAUGGGGCUUGGUAGGGAUAAACAAGGUAGCAUACUCUACUUUGCAAAUAUUGUUAAGUCAAAAACAAGGAUCCAAAGAGAGGAGUGUCAUAGUCAUAGAUCAAGAUGUGCAAGUGUGUUAUAUGGUGGACUAGGUUGCUCCUUUAUUUACUACACUCUCUCUACUUGUAUAUUGAGACAUGGCUAGAUUUUCUUUUUUCUUCGAGCUUUAUGUGCUCAAUUUUUUUUUUCAUGGACUUGCACAUGUCCAUCUUUUCUUUUUCUUUUAUUUUUCCAAGCCCUUUUAUGUCUCAUUUUCUAAACAAUAUUUAGAGAGGUGUUCUAACACUUAGAGUAUGGAGCAACCUAUUUAGUGGAUGCACAAUACAUGUGGUUGCGUACUUCCAGUGUAGAAGCAGCAUAUAUAUAUGUGGUGUGUACGUGAUCUUGAUCUUGUGACUAUGAUACAACUCUCACUAGGGUCAACAAGGUUUUGACAAAACUCAUUACAAAAGCAGGUUGCAUUUCAUAAAAUGGUUACUUGAAUAUCUAAGUGUAUGGCUUCUAAUGAGGAGUAAAUGAUACUAUGGUUUUGUGAUAUUUUUGAAACAAAUCUCUAAGUACCUUGAAUAGAAAUGUUAUGAAUUCUUAGCCAAGAGUUAUAUCACUUUCAUCAACAACUUAGUCAAUAUGGUUCCUAUAGAUUUUUACCCAUGAGGAUGAACAAUUGUAAGAACUAUACUUUAUGUCACUAUUUCUCUUAAAUCAUGUACCAGUUCACUUUUUAUUUUGCAAACAAGUUUAAACUAUCAAAUUUUAUUUUAAUUGUGACACAAAGGUAAAGAAUUGGACAGACUGAGAGGGGGAGGAAUUAGCAAACCGGGCAGAAAAGAUGUCUUUCGUCAUAUAGAAGCUGCCUGGUGGGCCUAGGGCUCCAUGGAAGGGUCGGCCGACCCCACCUGGAGGUUCCUGGCCCUGCCACUCGAUUCUACGUCCCUCGGGAAGUCUUUCUGCACUUGUGUCGUUUCCUUUUGCCAUAGAAAGGGGGUCGGGCGACCCCCUCAUCGCGCCUGUUUUUGGUGCCCUGACGUGCCGAGGUGUAUGCAGUGUUGUUCCAUGCUCACGGCAGUUCAGAGAUGAAGUUGGGGGGUCGGGCGACCCCCCCACACUUGCAGUUUUCGUGCAGCUGAACUUACAACAGAGAGAGAUGAUCAAAUGCAGACGUCCUGCUGGUGGCAACACACCAGCAGGACCAAAAGCAACUCUAUUAGAUCAAAUUUCAAUUGUAUAGGCACUUUUACAUUGUGAAAUUCAAAGUGACAAAUUGGAAAAUAAAAUUGAGUAAUCAAACCUAAAUAAUCAAAUAGUGCCUAUAACCUAAACUAACUAAUUUAUUUAGGGAGAUGGAGGUUUGAGGAGAUCCUCCCGCCCAAUUGCUUGUGCCAAACGCUUGAUUUUAGCGCUGGUGCUAAUGCGCAGGUGGCGGAAGUGAUCUUCUAACUCAAGAUUCUCCAUCCUGAGCUCCGACACUGUCUCCUCUAAGAUCCUAUUUUUCUUUCUAAGGCUAGCUGUGACUUCCAGGAGCUUCUCGAUGUCGCCUUUUUCUGGAUCUUCUUCGUAUUUGCCAGGCGCACCGUUGAUCGGAGGUGGAUCCAUCUUCCGCCGGAUGGAUGGACUUGCUGACGAGUCAAAGGACUCUCGCAACUCCAUCUUUUCCUUAGAGUUCAACGGCGGGAUCAGCACCUUCCCCUUUCCCGGCCCACCGCCCACCACUUGGUGGUUCCUCCAAAAGGUUGGGGUGGACGGCGAGUAGGAAGAGGUGUGGAUCGUGUCGGAGGAGAUGGUGAUGGCCUGCUUGGUGGCCAUCGGCGCCUUCUCCCGCAGCGCAAGUUGGCCCGUGGUAGGUCGAACCGGCGUUACGGCUCGAGCAGGGGACUUGCCGAUACCCCUGCGCGGUGUGAGCGAACGAGAGGCCGACGCGGAGCGCUGGGUCACCCGGGGCGAGGUCGGGCGACCCCUCUUGGGGUCGGGCGACCCCCACAUGGGGCCCGUCGGCCCUCCAGCCGGCGGCACCAUGGCUAGUGGUUCAGGCUCCAGCACGUUGACGGCUAGGGCAAACUCCAGGCUCUCAGUUAGAGACCUUUGCGGACGUGGGGAGUUGGAGCGAAUGGCUUGGUUGGAAGAUUUAGUUGGAGGGGCCAUGGAGAUGGAUCUCUUGGCAAGGAAUGGAGGCUAGGAGAGUCUGGUUCGAGGUGAAGAUGAGAAGGAAUGAAUUGAGAGGAGGAAGAAGAAGAAGAGGGGGGAUAAAUAGAUGUGUUUGGAGCCUGAGAGUUUGAAUUUUGAAAAGGAGCGUCGUGGAACGUUUGAGGGACGAUCCGAGACUCCAGGGGAUUUCAAAACUCAAAAUAUUGGGGGUCGGGCGACCCCUAUAUUUCAGGAUUUUGAAUUUCACCACCGAACUCUAUUCAUUCCCCUCUUUCUAAACCUAUUCCCCCUUGGGCCAAAACCCCUAGAAGAGGGGUCGGCCGACCCCCAUUUGGGGUGUUCGGCGGCCCAACUUCGAUCCUACAUCAUCUAAAACCCUUUUAAAACCUAUUUCCAAACAAAAGGAACUAAAUAUAUUGGUUUAGCAAAAAAAAUUUUUAUUUUUUUUUAUUUUUUUUUAACAAAAGGAGGUAAAAAGAAGGACAUGUGGAUUUUAAGACUUUAUGUCAGAUUCAAAUUCUAUCAUAUCAACUUCUUUUCUAAAGGUUCAUGUUCAUGGAAAACUUUAAGACGAUGACCAUUUACCUUAAAGAUGUUGCCGUCGUCGUCCCGCAGUGUUACCGCUCCAUGAGUCGCGGCGUCAACAACGAAGAAUGGUCCUUCCCAUUUGCUCCUUAGCUUUCCAUGGCCAAAUAACUUAACCCUUGAGUUGAACAUGAGAACCUUAUCCCCAGGAUGAAAUUCCUUUUGCUUGAUCCUUUUAUCAUGCCAUCUUUUUGUUCUCUCUUUGUAGAUCCUGGCAUUGUGAUAGGCUUUAUCUCUCCAUUCUUCUAGUUCGGAGAUUUGGAGCUUUCUAUUUCUUCCGGCCGAGGGCAAAUCCAUGUUCCAUUUCUUGAUUGCCCAGUGAGCUCUAUGCUCUAGCUCUACCGGUAGAUGGCAUGUCUUACCGUAUACAAGUUGGUAUGGUGUCAUACCAAUUGGGGUCUUGUAUGCGGUCCUGUAUGCCCAAAGUGCAUCUGGUAGAUGGCUUUUCCAGCCAGUUCCCAUCUUAGUGACAGUCUUCUGCAAAAUGUUCUUGAUUUGUUUGUUAGAUGUUUCUGCUUGUCCGCUCGUUUGAGGGUGAUAGGGUGUUCCAAUGUUGUGCCUUAUCCCCACUUCAGCUAAGAACCGUCGGAAUCUUCUGUCAAUGAAGUGGCUCCCUCCAUCACUGAUAACUAGUCUAGGGGUGCCGAAGCGUGGAAAUAUGACUUCCUUGAACAUCUUUAUCGAAUGUGUAGAGUCGGCUGCUCUGCAGGGCAUUGCUUCGACCCACUUGGACACAUAGUCUACUGCCACUAGGAUGUACUCACACCCUUGUGACAAAGGGAAUGGCCCCAUGUAGUCUAUGCCCCAAGCAUCGAAUAUCUCGACUUGUAAGUUGUUUGUGAGUGGCAUUGCAUCACGAGUAUUGAUGUUCCCAUGCUUCUGACACCUUGCACAUCUCCUCACGAAGUUCUUUGUAUCUUCGUACAUGGUAGGCCAGUAGAAUCCACUCUGCCAUAUCUUGGCAUGGGUCCUGAAUGCUCCAUAGUGGCCUCCGUACUCUGCCCCAUGGCAUUUUUCCAUUAUUUUUACUGCCUCGUCCAUGGGAACACAUCUCCUGAGUAUGCCAUCUUGACAGACUCUGUAGAGGUAAGGAUCGUCCCAUAGGUGCACCCUACUCUCUUUAACAAGCUUCUUCUUGUCUACCCCAGGUGGUAUGUAUCCGGACGCCAGGUAGUUGACUAUGUUUGCAUACCAUGGGUAGGCUUCUGAAACUCGGAGGAGUGUGUCGUCUCGAAGGUAGUCGUUGAUAGGUGGAUCCUGUUUAUCCUCGAUUUGCAUCCUAGACAAGUGAUCGGCUACCGAGUUUUCUACUCCCUUUUUAUCUCUAAUUUCUAAGUCAAAUUCUUGGAGUAGUAGGAUCCAUCUUAUUAAUCUUGGUUUAGCAUCUUUUUUUAGUGAGCAAGUAUUUUAGAGCUGCGUGAUCGGAGUAAACAAUCACCUUUGCUCCAACUAAAUAAGAUCUAAACUUGUCUAUAGCAAACACUACAGCCAACAGUUCUUUUUCAGUUGUUGCAUAAUUCAGCUGUGGUCCUGUUAGUGUUUUGCUAGCAUAAGAUAUUGCAUGAUGCUUCUUAUCUUUAGUCUGUCCUAAGACAGCACCUACAGCGUAAUCACUAGCAUCACACAUUAUCUCAAAAGGUAGCGACCAAUCAGGGGGUUGAAUGAUUGGUGCAGAGAUAAGUGCUUUCUUAAGAUAGUAAAAGGAAUCCAAGCACUCAUCAUUAAAAUCAAAGGGUGCAUCCUUAGCUAACAGGUUUGUUAAAGGUCUAGCAAUUUGAGAGAAAUCUUGUAUGAACCUUCUAUAAAAGCCUGCAUGGCCAAGAAAGCUACGGACGCCCCUAACAUUUGUGGGAGGAGGGAGCUGUUCUAUAACUUCAAUUUUAGCUCUAUCUACCUCUAUCCCACGUUCGGACACUCUAUGUCCUAACACUAUCCCUUCUCGAACCAUAAAAUGGCACUUUUCCCAGUUCAAGAUCAAGUGCUUCUCUUGGCACCUUUGUAAGACUCGGUCCAGGUUCUUUAGGCAAUCAUCAAAAGUUUUCCCAUAGACGGAGAAGUCGUCCAUGAAAACUUCCAUGAUUUCCUCGAUCAUAUCGGAGAAGAUGGACAUCAUGCACCUUUGAAAAGAGGCAGGAGCAUUGCAUAGGCCAAAAGACAUGCGCCUAUAUGCAUAUGUUCCGUAGGGGCAUGUGAAUGUAGUCUUACUUUGGUCGUCGGGAUGGAUUGGGAUUUGAUGGUAACCCGAAUACCCAUCAAGGAAGCAGAAGAAAGAGUGUUUGGCUAACCGUUCCAGCAUCUCAUCGAUGAAUGGCAACGGAAAGUGGUCUUUCUUAGUGGCCUUGUUAAGUUUUCGGUAGUCUAUGCACAUUCUCCAUCCUGUGACGGUCCGUUGAGGAAUGAGUUCAUUGUUGUCAUUUUUAACGACCGUCAUUCCUCCUUUCUUAGGAACUACUUGAACGGGGCUGACCCACUCACUGUUCGGAACAGGGUAGAUUAUGCCCGCAUGCAAUAGUUUUAAGACCUCUUUCUUCACAACUUCUCUCAUCGCAUUAUUUAGCCUUCUCUGAGGCUCCCUGGAAGGUAUAGCAUCGGGUUCGAUAGGGAUGCGAUGAGUGCAGAGUGCAGGACUAAUUCCCUUAAGGUCUUCUAAUGAGUAUCCUAAGACAGAGCGGCGUUCUUCUAAGACGGUGAUGAGUUUGGUGACUUCUUCUUCUGUCAGUUGAUCACUAAUGAUUACCGGAGUCUCUCUAUCACCAUUAAGGAAGGCGUACUUAAGUCCAGAGGGAAGUGGCUUAAGUUCUAUAGAGGGUUUUGGUGGUGGUUUAGAUUCAUCCAAGUCUAAUGGUUCUUCUAAUUUGUUCUCUUCUUCUUGGAUGAAGUUUUCGGCGUCUUCUUCUAAGUCAGGCUGAGAAGUGUCCAGAAGAGAUGCCGAUAUCACCUCCUCUAUUGGGUCAGGCUCGGGCGGGGUCUCGGCUUUAGAAUUAAUAGAGCCGGCAAAAGGCAUAGAAAGGUCUAAGCCCUUCCCGAGGUUACCCUUGAAACGCCCUUCAUGAAAUCCAUUUAGGAACCUCAUGAUGGGGUGCCCGAUUAACAAGUCAACUUCUUUCAUAUCAAAGAUAAAGAAGUUUAGCAGAAUGUUGACUUUGUUAAUGGAGACAGGAAUAUUCUGUGCAAUCCCACAACUCUCGACCAUUUCCCCAGAGGGUAAUUUAACGGUAGAGGCAAACUAACAUGUGCAACAUGUGGGCAAGGUCGGUGGGAGGCCAACCGACCCUGGAACCGCCAUGAAGUGGGGUCGGCCGACCCCCUAUCUGGCUGGUUGGGCCCACCUGCAGUGUCCUGGAGGCUCUCUGAUGUCGGUGGAGUUGAGCUGACCUGUGGGACCCACCAAAGUGGGGUCGCCCGACCCCAAUUCUAUGGGGUUAGGGUGUCAGCCCUGUCCUACAUGUCUUCCUCUUCAUGACUAUAAUGUUGUCUUGGUUACUGGUGUCACUGAUCUUUAGUUAUUCACCCCUUCUUAGUGUUUGGACCCUUGAAAAGUACCUGUUCUUACUCCUGCAACCAAAUAGUAGCAUGUACAUGUGGAACUAGGUUAUAUGUACCUAUAUUACUACUUUGUUUGGUUGUUUUCUCCCAAAAUGAGUCUUAUGUUGACGGUUAUGAUAGUAGAAAACAUGGUAUAAAUACCGUCAACAACUAUCCCAUCAACCCAGGCCCUACUCACCCAUGCAUGCAAAAUUGUUUUAGCGAAUUAAAAAAGUCAGAACUCUUAAACCGAAGAUAUAAAUUAAAUUUCGAUUGCACCAUUAAAUUUCUUAUAAAAAAUCCUUUAAAACAAGAUCACACAUGGAUAUAUUUAGAUAAAAUUUUAUUAAUGAAUAUUUAUCUCUACAACUAAAAAUUAUGGAAACGAUCCGUCCACAACUCUCAUCCCUUUGGUGGUCUUUUUUACUGCGCGAUGACACGCUAUCCCAUCAACCUAGGCCCCACUCAUCUAUGCAUGCAAAAUUGUUUUAGCGAAUUAAAAAUAUCGUAACUCAUAAACCAAAGAUAUAAAUUAAAUUCCGAUUGCACCAUUAAAUUUCUUAUGACAAAUCCUUCUAAACAAGAUCACACAUGGAUAUAUUUAGAUAAAAUUUUAUUAAUGAAUAUUUUGUCUUAUAAAAAUAAAAUAUUUUCUUUUAUUAAGUAGAUACAAUAUUCUAGGUUCAACAGACAAUGUUCUGUCUUUGUAAAAAAAUAUUAUCGAUUUAGAAGAAUAGUAUUUUAGUUUUAGGUUUAUGAAACUGAUAUUACAAUAUACAUAAAAAUACAUAAAUAUAUGACAUAGAUAAAAAUAAUAAUAAAAUCUAGAGUAAAAAGCAUAAGAAAAAAAAUAAAAAACAAAAUGGAGAA